AAGGGCACCAGAGAGUGGGGGAUUGAUUUAGUAAUUCCUCUGUCAAAACACCCCUCCACCUCUGUCAUACAUGGUUUCUUCCACUUGAAAAACCUCCUCAUAUAUAAGCCAAUGGCAGACUACACUUCUGUUUGGCAGUUCCUGGUGUUUGAUGUGGAUCUCAGGCAUUGCAGUUGAGGACAGGUGACCAACAAAAGCACUCUUUAACAUGUUUAAUAAAGAAUAAAAGGGGUUAUGUAAAGAAACAUUCUGUGUGUGUUUCAUUUGUUUUGAGAUAAGGUCUUUGUAGCCUUUCAACAUGCAGGAAUAUUUGUGUUUGUGGAAAUGUUUUCUUACACUGUGGUAACAUGCUAUGCUAACUAUAAAACAGGUUUUGUUUGAGUGUGCUCUUUUUUUGCCUUUUUUCUCCUUGCAAGCUACUGAGGCUAACGUUACUAUGGACCUGGACCUCAAGCUUUUACCUACAACGCAUGUUAGAAGACAAGGAGCAGGAACAGGACAGGAUUAAGAGAAACAACGAAUCAAGUUGAGGAGCAAUGAGACCUAGCAUGAACGGUGAUUCCAAUGUUAUUUGCAGUUCUGUCACUUUUUCUCUCAGUUUUCCCAUGGCUACAACAACAGUCUAACUUUGCAGCUGAUUGUAGUGAUGUUUUCAUCUUUGAGGGAAGUGCAGUGAUUGUUGUCUGAGUCAUCAGAAAAGCUUUCUAUUAAUCCUAUUAUUAUUUAUGACAUCCAUCUACAAGUGGUUGUAUCCAUGAGUGUUAAUUGUCGCUGAGGCUGCAGAUGGCUUAGUUUCAGUCCUUGUACUGUGCAUGUGGUAAAGCAUUGCUUAUGUACAGUUAGUUCUUAAUUUUACACAAACGUGACCCAGUGAUCUUACACAGACGUUCACAAGUUCAAAGUGUUUGUUUCUCCUCUAUUUAAAAAGAAAAUCUAGUUUAUAUGUAGAUUUUGGAGUACUUGUCUUGAGCAGUUCCCCGUCUUCCCAGAACUCCAGGAGCAUAUACAGGUACUAUAAUUUACAGAUUGGUUUAAGGAAGUAGAAAGUGGUAUGGUUUCAGGCCACCUUAUGGAUGCUU
This is a long non-coding RNA of Notolabrus celidotus (New Zealand spotty), 1079 nucleotides long. RefSeq lists it as uncharacterized. The transcript is spliced from 3 exons. The record is from RefSeq and is a predicted model, not a curated record. Lineage: Eukaryota; Metazoa; Chordata; Actinopteri; Labriformes; Labridae.